UACGGAGGGGGCGAGCGUUAUUCGGAAUUAUUGGGCGUAAAGGGCGCGUAGGCGGCUUGGUAAGUCAAAGGUGAAAUCCCUCGGCUCAACUGAGGAAUUGCCUUUGAAACUGCCUGGCUUGAGGCCGGGAGGGGGUAGCGGAAUUCCCAGUGUAGCGGUGAAAUGCGUAGAUACUGGGAGGAACACCAGUGGCGAAGGCGGCUACCUGGACCGGUUCUGACGCUGAUGCGCGAAAGCGUGGGGAGCAAACAGG
RNAcentral lists this ribosomal RNA (253 nucleotides) under uncultured bacterium. RNAcentral's name for it is "partial 16S ribosomal RNA". It matches the Rfam family "Bacterial small subunit ribosomal RNA", at positions 524 to 776 of the family's 1533-position model. The record is from RNAcentral.